Molecule: long non-coding RNA, 378 nt
Filed under: Lathyrus oleraceus (garden pea)
Lineage: Eukaryota; Viridiplantae; Streptophyta; Magnoliopsida; Fabales; Fabaceae
Description: Pisum sativum (pea) long non-coding RNA (PSAT_LNC010026)
Source: RNAcentral
UCAGUCCUUACUUCAUACCCAAUUGUGAAACUUCUAACUUCAGCCUCUUGCAUAGUAAGACAAUUCUCAUCAUUUUUUAAGUAAAUGAGUAACAAAAAAGCUUAAGAUAAAAUUCACAUAUCCUAAUAUUAAUAUCAUGAUAUUAAUGCAUCCACAUCAUCUUGAGUUGCAGUGCAUGUCAUGCCCCACUUCUUUUGCACAUUUUAAUUAUACCUACAAUGAAAGUAAAAUAAAACAGAAAAUGCAACAUUAACAAGGGGAAAGAAAAUACAAAAGCAGAACGUAUAAUCACUUACUUUGCUUGACUUAUCUACAGCUUGACCAAUUGCAGAUGCAACUUUACCAAUUGUUGUCAGUGUAUCCAUGACUAUGUUUUUG